RNAcentral lists this long non-coding RNA (220 nucleotides) under Panax ginseng (ginseng). Its description in RNAcentral is "long non-coding RNA (PGIN_LNC001550)". Lineage: Eukaryota; Viridiplantae; Streptophyta; Magnoliopsida; Apiales; Araliaceae. The record is from RNAcentral.
UCAUUCACGACCCUCUCAUCUUUUGCACAAGACUUAGGAGGAAUCAUGACUUUGCCCACUAGCCAUGCGACGGUUACAUGGAAGGGCAAGAGGAUGAUAACUAUGGCUUUGGCAGAUUCUCAGUUAAAACCACAAAGGGGCAAAUGGGGGAAGAACGAGAGAAAUGUUGAAUGGAGCAGAGGAAAACCCAUAGACAAGUAUACAAGAAUACCAAUUCUAG